Diceros bicornis minor is the source of this 723-nucleotide long non-coding RNA. RefSeq lists it as uncharacterized. The record is from RefSeq and is a predicted model, not a curated record. The transcript is spliced from 3 exons. NCBI's taxonomy places the organism in Eukaryota, Metazoa, Chordata, Mammalia, Perissodactyla, Rhinocerotidae.
UGUAGGAUUGUUUUCCUUCUUUCUGAAAUACUUCCUUUGGAAGUUUCUUUUGAUACAGGGAUCUGGUGGUAAUGAACUCUUUUUGUCUCUACGACUGUAGAAUUUUCUGGUCCUCCAACUCUGAUCACAGAAGAUAAGAAGCAUUCAGCGUCUCCAUCACCAUGACCCACAGGUACCUGGUGCCUCGGGGCUGGAGACACCUGUGUGCAGGCUGGCUGUCGUGCACUUUCUCAGGCUCUUCUGGCUGAGCAAAGUGACAGUUCUCCUUGUGGCGAGAAGUGUGGGACAGGCACCAGAGGGGGACUUGCUACCACGAUCACUGCCGAGAUUCACCUGGAGAGACCAGAGCAGGACGAGGACGGCGUGUGCAGUGCCUUGUCUCCUGCUGAGACCCAGCAAGUAUCAGUGUGGACCAUGGAUUUUUUCAAACGGGAUGAAGAGCCGCCAGGAAUUCGUGACAUCCCGGGAGCCGCCAGAGCUGGACGCUGAUGGAGACCUGAAUGGGAGCCGAUGCAAAGUCCUGCUCCUUCUCGCCGGCCUGCAGCUGAACCAGCACCUGGUGGAGCUGAGUGAGGGAGAACAGCAUGAGCUCUCACUCCUUCCCAGUGUCUCCUUCCCCUCUGGCCCGCCUCAGAUUUGUCCCCAAGUUAUUCUUGUGUCACCUGUUAGUGUCAUCGCUAAUGCCCUUACAUGUACAUAGCAUCUGAAAUUCUUUUUACAGUG